GUCACUACUCUCUACUGAGAUGUCUGUUCUUGGAAGCCCCACUACCAAGGGCAGUGUUUGGGUAGGAAUUGGUCUUGGGUAAAGUACACUGGUCAUCAAGGUGAACCAGUCUCCUUUCCCCUGAAAACUAAUCUUUUGGUCCAGGUGCAUGUUGCUUUGGGGGUUGGGGGCCAGUGGAUGAUCUGUGGCUCUGACAGGUAUCACCAAAGCUCUUGCCCACCUGGGCACAAUUCCCAUACUGUUACCAGGUGCUCACCCAUCUUAGCCUAGGCUUCCUGUCAUGGGAUCCAGUUGCUUUGGGUCUUAUCACGGGUCCUGUGGAUCACAUCCUCUUAAUGUGUGCAGGACACCUCCCCAGAUCCAUACUAUAAGCCCACUGAAAUCUGCCCAUUGGUUUGACCGUUUCUUUGCUCUCCUUCCUCCCCACUGUUCUUCCUGCAAACCCAAAACAGAUGCCUAUCCCCUUCCUGAUGAGGGUGUGGUGAAUGGCUGCAUACCCUGGACCGCUAAAGGGACCUGGACCUUACGACAUCGUUAUGGCAGAGUUUGGGGACCCUCCUCUGUCCCGGCAAGCUCCUGAGACCAUGGUGAGGGUCUGCAUUGUACAAAUGGCUGUGAGUUGAGGAGAGGGCGCCAUGCACUUAAGGAGAGUCAUUUGGACUGGAAUACCAGAUGACCAAAGGUGGUGGCUAACAUAUGACUCCAGGAUCCAGCGUCAUGCCACGGGACUGUUAUAAGUGGUACCCACUGUUCACUGGUUAGAAAUAACAUUUUCUUUCCCAUCUGGCUGUUAGUCCAAGACAUUUCU
This is a long non-coding RNA of Mus musculus (house mouse), 808 nucleotides long. RefSeq annotates it as predicted gene, 35395. The record is from RefSeq and is a predicted model, not a curated record. NCBI's taxonomy places the organism in Eukaryota, Metazoa, Chordata, Mammalia, Rodentia, Muridae. The transcript has 3 exons.